This 429-nucleotide ribosomal RNA is filed under the name uncultured bacterium. RNAcentral's name for it is "bacterial SSU rRNA". It matches the Rfam family "Bacterial small subunit ribosomal RNA", at positions 355 to 775 of the family's 1533-position model. The record is from RNAcentral.
UGAGGAAUCUUGCGCAAUGGGGGAAACCCUAACGUAGCAACGCCGCGUGAGUGAGGAAGGCCUUCGGGUCGUAAAGCUCUGUCAGAUGGGAAGAAAUGGGUGGGGGCUAAUAUCGUCCAUCCUUGACGGUACCAUCAGAGGAAGCACCGGCUAACUCCGUGCCAGCAGCCGCGGUAAUACGGGGGGUGCAAGCGUUGUUCGGAAUCAUUGGGCGUAAAGCGCGCGCAGGCGGCUUGGUCAGUCAGAUGUGAAAGCCCUGGGCUUAACCCAGGAAGUGCAUUUGAUACUGCCUCGCUAGAGUACGGGAGAGGAAAGUGGAAUUCCUGGUGUAGAGGUGAAAUUCGUAGAUAUCAGGAGGAACACCGGUGGCGAAGGCGACUUUCUGGCCCGAUACUGACGCUCAGGCGCGAAAGCGUGGGGAGCAAACAG